Molecule: long non-coding RNA, 3151 nt
Organism: Branchiostoma floridae (Florida lancelet)
Lineage: Eukaryota; Metazoa; Chordata; Leptocardii; Amphioxiformes; Branchiostomatidae
Exons: 2
Source: RefSeq, a predicted model, not a curated record
UCCCUUUCAAAGUCUGACACUAAACCUGCCCUGCAGUUCCAAAACAAACCGCUAGGGUGCCCAAAUCUAUACCACUUACUCUCUGUCCCACGAGCUAUCUACCACUUAAAAAUCAUGACCACAGCACGUCCAGAACUUCAGAUAUCAAACCCAGAAGUUCCACUGCGUAACAAGCCCUUAGGGGGCCAAAAAUCUAAUUGUUUCCAGGUGUUAUCAAGAUCUACCCACAUACCAAUUAUCAAUACAAUCCACCAAGGCGUUCUCCAGUUAUGCCGGUGUUCUACACACAUACAUACACCCGCUACCCAAAAUAUAACCUUUUUGGUGAAGGUAGUUAUUGCCAAAAUGCGAACUUGUAUAAAGGGAUGUGGCCUUUGACGAGUGUACAAGUGCCUCAAUCCCGCGAGACGACAGAACUAUUAUGCUUUUUUAAGUAAAUAUAUGACCUUACGCAGACAACCAUACUUCUCCCGGUGGUUUCGGUAGCAGAGCUCUCUAUAGUGAGCUAUCUCUAUCUGCCGUAACAUGCACGGCCAAAUCAGACAAUGUGAACAGGAAACUAAAGGUGGUUUGGGGAGUUAUAAGUCUGUGGUUUUAUUUCUGGUAAUGUAACGUUACCUCCUACGUUACCCAGUUCAAUACACAAUUCAAAACGCUACGUAUACUAGUACCUUCCCCCUGGGUUCGGGUCUAGCACCCUAAUGCCUAGGUUACACACAGCCGAAUUUAGCUCCCGAACACCAGCCGACUCUUAGCCGACUCAAUUAGGCAGUAGUUCGGGAGCAGUCUGACCAAGUCCUAACAAUCACCCGACCAGUAAAUGACUUACUCCCGACAGUGUCCCGAAUGCCAACUAACCUAUACCCAACCAUCCCGACCUCUAGCCGCAAAUAGCCGAAUCACUCCUGACUGAUUCCCAACCGAUUGCUGACCCUCUCACGACUUGAAAUGGACAUAAUGAGCGAUUUUCAAAAACGUAGCAAUUUCAGUUUUUAAUCUAUUUGUAAACAUCACCAAGAGAUCAAAUUUGGAUCGCAGCUGCAGAUAGCUGUAAUACGGCAUUUAUGUUUUUUGUGCUGGGAGUAAGUCAGCAGUGUUUAUGGCUUGGUUAAACAGUUAAAACUGACUGCUGAAUUACUCCCGAACACUAGCCGACAGUGCCGAACACCAGCCGGCCAAAAGCCAACCCAUUCCAGACCUGCCGUUUAGAGCCGAAUGUUUUGAACAUUUCAAAGCAUUCGAAUGGCGCAGCCGAACACCAGCCCACUCAGCCGAAUGCCAGCCACCUUAGCUCCCGAAUCACACCUAACCAUAGUCGGGAGAGAGUCGGAAGCCAAAUUCGGCUAUGUGUAACCUAGGCAUAAGAGAGAGAUGGAAGGACCGAGUGAGGAACUCUGUACUGUACGGUGACCUCCCUACACUCUCUCAUAAGAUCAGGAAACGGAGGAUGGCGCUGGCCGGACACUGUGUCCGACAAACAGAACUGGUAGCCAACGAGCUGAUCCUCUGAGAGCCAACAGAGGGAAAGAGAAGAAGGGGCAGACAGCGCACUACGUUCAUCAAUAACCUUAAAAGGGACACCCAAAUCAUCAACAUCAACAAAGCACAGUUUCGCUCUCUCAUGGAGGAUAAGGCUGAGUGAAGAAGAAGAAUCUAUUGUGACCCGUGAUGACAUCCCUGAUGUCCACGUUCAAGGUUCAAGAGUAAGAUAUAUAAUACCCGGGCCGUAUACAUGUUUGAAACAGUGUUCCGACCGGUCCGUAUUUUACAGUUAGGUCGGGGCUCCAUGCUUCGAUUUCAACGAUUUGAAUUAGGGCCCUAGGGCACACGACUAAUUUUCCUGGACUUCAUAACUAAAUAUCAUGACAUACCAACAUACAAAACAUCAAAUAUUUACAUAUAUGUCAUGUCACUACUUUAUGGUCAUGCCAUUAAUACGUUAACAUAUUGCACAAAAGUUGAACAGCCGAGAGCGUUUUUCAGUUCAAAUUGGAAAGUAGUUCCAUUUGUGAUUGACUUGAAAGGUUGGGCGGACUGCAGCGCCACGGGUAGUCUCUUCCACAUUGAUGUUGCUCUAUUCCUAAAUGUCAUUUUCAAUUAGUUUGUCCUUGUAACUUGACAUUAAACUUUGCAGCAAAACGAGUACUGUGGCUAUUUUGUUUGUUAGCAACAAUUCGAAAGUUUAUUUGCAAGUCCUUGCCCGAGGGUUCAUUGGAACAUGGAACAUACAGAAUAUAUAGUAAAUGAAAUACUUGGUAUAGAUAACAAUGGUGACAAGUGGAAACAAGUGACUAUUCUAGUAAUAAUAUGGACUGCUGAGAGCUACGAUCUAAGCAUUUGGGGUUUGACGUCUUUUCUGGAAGCAGUGGAAGACGAAGUGCCCCACUUUUUCUACGAUCAGUAGGUUAUAUGACGUUAAGUUAACAGAGGUCAGUUUACUACUGAGACAGACAGGUUCAUUAGUGAAGCAUCCUCCUAACGCCCGGGCCCCAUAGGCUGAGUCAGCUAGACGUUGGGGACCGUACGUAGGAGAAUGUAGUGAAGACAAUUCUCCUGAAAGUAGCCAUAGUGUUCAUUAACAGUCUGGUGUUCACGGGUUUCCACUGCGGUUUCAUCUGGAGGAGACGAGUGGUCUUGUUCUGCACUCGUUGUAGGUCCUGUAGUUUAUGUUCCUCUUCGUCGUGCUAGACCACACUGGGCUGCAAUAGUCAAUGUGAGAUAAUAUGUACAAGGCAUUCAAUUGUCAUGUUUAACAGCGUCUGGGCCAUGAAUUUCGCGCACAUCUUAACCAUUCCAAGAGACAUGGCUAUUUUCUUUGAGGUAGAUUUCCUGUGAGUGUUCCAGGUGAAACAUUCAUCAACAGUAGUACCAAGAAGUUUUACCUAUGUGACUUGUUCUAUAUGUUUGCAAGUCAAGGCAGUCAAGGCAAGUUUGGGUCUUUUUGACUUUUUACUUUUGCUUCCGAGAACUAUAUGCAUUUUGUGUUUUGUGUAUUCAUAAAAAGCUGUUUCGCUCUUACCCAGUUGCAGAUAUUUUUUCGCCUCUGUUUGUAGAUUGUUUCAGCUGCAGGGCCACAGGUGUAGGCUGAGGUGUCGUCAGUGACUUAUAGCAAGCGGCAAGUCGUUACUGCAGCAUGAUGAGUUGUAGGCGG